Molecule: ribosomal RNA, 428 nt
Filed under: uncultured bacterium
Lineage: Bacteria
Description: bacterial SSU rRNA
Rfam family: Bacterial small subunit ribosomal RNA
Source: RNAcentral
GUAGGGAAUAUUGCGCAAUGGACGAAAGUCUGACGCAGCGACGCCGCGUGAGUGAUGAAGGCCUUAGGGUCGUAAAGCUCUGUUGAAUGGGAAGAAAAAAAUGACGGUACCAUUCGAGGAAGGACCGGCUAACUUCGUGCCAGCAGCCGCGGUAAUACGAGGGGUCCUAGCGUUGUUCGGAAUCAUUGGGCGUAAAGGGUGUGUAGGUGGCCAUGUAAGUCAGGUGUGAAAGCCCCGGGCUCAACCCGGGAAGUGCACUUGAUACUGCGUGGCUUGAGUACCGAAGAGGGUAGUGGAAUUCCAGGUGUAGUGGUGAAAUACGUAGAUAUCUGGAGGAACACCGGUGGCGAAGGCGGCUACCUGGUCGAGUACUGACACUGAGACACGAAAGCAUGGGGAUCAAACAGGAUUAGAUACCCGGGUAGUCC